UUCUCAAGAUAUUUAAUACAAUUAAUAUUUUACUUACUUAUUUGAUAAUUAAUUAAAUGAUAAGCCUCAUAUCUCGCUUCUCCUUUCAACACUUCUACAAUUAUUUAUUUCUGAAAUAUCUAAUAAACGAUCAUAAUUGAAUUAUUACCGUCACAAAAUGUUAUAAAACUAGCAAAAUAACAAGAUGAUUAAAGUUAUUUAUUUUAACGAACACACGACACGAUACGUCAACUCCUUACAUAAAUUAAAACAAUGAAACUGCACGCAAGAUUUUCACGCAAGGUUCCCUAUAUAAAAUUCAUUCUUUUUUUUUUCCAUAUCAAUUAAAGAAUUAACAAAUUUAAUCUUGUCAAAAUUAAUUCUUCCCCUCCGCUUGUCCAACGCUUAUUUGCUUUCUUCGCGAGAAGGAGAAGGAGAUUGACGCGUGAUAAUUUUUAAAAAUUCAACAAACACGUCAGACAUUCUAAUGUUCGUUUGGUAUACUUGCGAAGGAAGAAAUGUAAAACAGGAUGUGGCGAAGAAUGGUAUGAAGGUGGCGGUUAUUGGUAAAACGAGCUCGAUUUACCAAUCGAAAUCACGGUUUUCUUCGCGAUCGAUAUCGUUUGUAAAUAAGCUGACGCGAUAGAUUUAAUGGCAACGGGAUGCCAUGCGUUUUGAUCGAUUGUUUUUUAAAACGCCGAUAAUAAGCGUGUCUGAUUAAGGAACCUGUGCUGACAGUAUCUCUGGCAGGCCGAUGCAUUCCACAGUUUAUUCUCACACCUAUCAAAUGGUGGUGUGCGAAAACAUUUACGAUUCAAUCGUGCAACAAAGAAAGUAGGGAGAAUGUUGAGGCUUUGCGUUUCUUCGACCGGUUGACAAAUGAAAAGGAGAACAAUUUGGAAAAUAAUCGUAUUAUGAUAUUAAUUCUUUAAACACCUGAGCUCUUUGUUUUCUUUAAGAUUUUAACUUCAAUUUGUUUGUACCUUGCGCAUGAUAUACUCGUAACGAGAGAUCAAUCGUGCUUCUAUUUUUCAAUCUAUUUUCUUUUUUUAAUAAUUUUUCAAUUAUUUAAAACUCGAAAAGAAAACUUCGAUUCGUUAGAAUUCUAUAUAAUUUUGUUUAACGUUUAAUGUUUAAUGGAUUAUUAUUAAAUUCACUCAAUCGAACUCUGAAUCUCUGAAUCGUUAUGUGAAAAUUGAUAAAUUUCAUUUUCGGCCUUGAUGCGAAAUUAAAUUGAAGAUGGAUAUAAAUGAACGCUCUAUAUUUAAGUAGAAAUGUAUCUACCAUAAUUACAGCUCUCUCUCGCGUAUAAAACAUUCUUCGGGUAAAAGAAACUUUUCCGCAACGCAACACCAGAAUUACAUUUCGUCUGUUUCACCGCGAUCAAAAACACAUAUCUAAAUCACCUAGGUAAAUUCACUCUACAACUAAACAAACUUGCUUUCUACUCCAAUUCCUCGUAUCAAACCGACAUACCGAUGUCGGUUUAAAACGCUUAAUAAAUCCGCCUAAGUGAAACUUGAAUUAAAUUUUUAAUCAUCCGUUUCGAUGUGUACGCGUUUAUUCGAAUUUCUAUUCGAUUUCCUGAAACGUAAUCGAACGACAAAUCCUUUAAUUAUAUUCGACAAUUCUGUCUCGAAUACCACUUUCAGUUCAGUCGAUAUAUACAAUUUAAAUCUUAGUUCCUCGUUUAUAUAUCAGUAUGUGAAACAAUGGCCAGGGCCAGUGAUGGGAUCGAGUAUCUCGCGAGUUGGAUCAAACUUUGAUUGAACUUAUACAUAUUUGUAUGCAGAUAUUUCCAAAUACACUUAAACAGAGUGAAAUAGAUUCAAACACUUUUACAUAUAUUUUGGAAAAUAAAAAUAAUACUUUAUUCGAGGCGCAUUUGAAACUUUCGUACGAAUUUUAUCAAAAAAAUUCUCUGAUCUUGCUUUUAAAAUUAUAAUUAUAAUUUUGUGUAUAAUUUAAUCCUAAAUUUUAUAUAAUGAUCGUAUCCUCAGAAACAACGUUCUUCGAAAAGAAGAAAAAUUUUAAUUAAAAAAAAAUUAAAAAAAAAAAAAGGGAAAGUAAAAGUAAAAUAUCCUAUUGAAUUUUUAAAUAAUUCGAUAAGUAAAUUGCAAUUGUAAGAAUCAUAUAUAAGUUACACGAGAUCUGUUGCACAUUUUUUGAUUCGAGUAGUGAAAGAUUCGAUUCUUUCCAAGCGCGAAAUUUGCCGAAACAAAAUUACUUUUAUGCUAAAAGUGCAAUGGAUUGCCUCUGAAUGAUAUUCGAAGAUAUAACAUUGAGAUUGUUAAAAUUGCAUCUUGGAUGAUACGAGAAUCUAUAGAACUCGAUCCCAUCCCUAUCGAUAAGAUGGCAAUCGAUCGUGCGAAAAGGAGGUGUGCCUUGGCUUGAUUCGACGUCAAUUAUUCCUCGGCGUCAACCUAUUAAUUAACACCGUCCUGUCCUGUAACUUUCUCCACCGUGUCGUGAUUGUUCCGAGAGAGGCUCUCGAAACCACCACCUCCGCCGGUUGGAUGCCUCGGAUGGAAAACGGAACCCAUUUCGUAGAAAAUGGGUCGUUGCACACCCGCGAAUUAAUUAGCGCCCGAACAACGUGGACGCCUAAUUUGGCGAAGACGUUUAACGAGGGCCGUUUAUAAUCGAGGAAUUCGUGGCCCCUCGAUCGAAUGGCUAGAAUCUAAAUCACGAGGAACAGACUUGAUCGAUCUUUUUUCUAUCGAACAAUGUAUCGUUUUAUCUCAUCGAUUUUUUUUUUUUCUUCCUUUUUUAGAUUUACAUUUUUGUUGAACGUUUCGACUAGAGUGUGUUUUUGUCGACAGGUUAUUUGUUUAUAUUUGUGCAAAUUUAUAUUUUACACGAAUCAACGAAAUGGAAAAUUUUGUUCUUUUUCUCGAAUACUUGUGAUACUUUAUUUUUUUAGAUUUUAUAUCUGCAACGGAUCAUGAUGAAUUGUGAUGAAUAUAUUAGAAAUUAAAAUUGAAAUUAUUUAAAUUGUUCGAUUAUUGAUCCGAAAGUUACAGAAAUUUUAAUUGAACAUUUUUAUACACUGAAAAUGUUUUGUGUUUCUUUUAAUUUUUAAAAUGAAUCCAAACAUAUUUUAUAUAUACAUGAAAUGAAUAAUUUAAAUAAAAAUUCGACGAAACAAUUUAAUUUAAACAACUUAGUUGAUCUUGAAUUAUCAAACUAGUAUUUGGAUAGCGUGAAUUUUAGUAUUUCCCAGCAACCUUUGGCAACGUCAUCGGUGGCCUAGAUCAGAAAUUAUUAGCACGACUUUAACAAUGCGACCAGGUAUAAAAGAAUGAAGUGUUUUCAAAACCAGAUGAAUAUCGCUGUAUUCGAAAACGUAUGCACAAACUCACAGUUCGUGAUCAUUUUCCACGUUUUUACGCGACCAUUCCGUUGUCUUUCCAUCGUUUGUUGCAAACUUUCGUUCCUGACUUUCGUUGGAAUAAUAUUUUUUCGAUCAUCUUCACCAUUUCGCUCAAUAAAUAAUUUCGAAUUAGACGAUGACGUUAUAAAAUCAAUGUUCCCAAAGACGAAACGUUUUCUUAUUAAAAUUAAAAUUAUCAAAAUAGUAUUAUUUUUAAUUAAAAUAAAAUAGAUAAAUAUAAAAUUAUUAAUCUUAUUAAAUUUAUCGAUAAUAGUUUCAUAUUUAAAUAAAGCAAAGCAGAAAUCUAUCCAAAAUUUCUCCAGCCAGAAUUUUACUUUUGCAUAGCGAGUAAACAUUUUCUACGAAAAUUACACAAGAAAUUCGUAGAAUUAAUGAAACGAUAAUUUUUAUUUUGCAACAAUUAAUAAAUUAAAAAGUUUGUUAAAAUAUAUGAAAAAGAAUUGUGUAAUUAAUUAUUAUCCAAACAUUCGUUUGCCCUUAUUUAAUAUUCGUCGCGAUUAAAUGCUUUAAUAUUCAAUGGUCGAAAGUUGAUUUGUGGCGUUUGGUGAAUUCUAGGGGAAUUGCAGCAAAUCGUUAAAUAGUAAAUUACACCACUACUCGUUCAUAUAAAUUCACUAGUUAACUGGGAAUUCGCGUUGAUUGGACGCGUGUCCCGCCGGCUUUUCGAAGCCUUGGCAUUAAUGGAAUUUAUAAGUUCAAACUGAAGAUCAAGAACAAAAAUGGCUCCCUUGGGUGGCUCUUAGAAAUUAUCGAGAAAUCACCAUCGAUUAUCGAUUCCCUCGAAAACAAAAUUCACCACGUCGAAAUUGUUAUAUAUUCUUUCGAAAAUUAAUUUGAUAUUGAAAUCGGCAAAUUUUUAUAUACAGAUUAAAAUAUCAUAAUAUAAGAAAAAAAUAUGCAAGUCAAUAAAAACACGUUUAUUAAAUUAUUCAAUUUCGAGUUAGACGAAGUGCAAUCGAGAUAAUAUAAAAGUAAUUUCGUUAAAUUAAAAUCUACUGUGUCUUCGAUAAUAUAUUCAUAGAUUAAAAUUUUUUGCAAUAAAAAAAAAAUAAAUAAAAAGAAAGUUUAACUGGAAAAAGAAAGAUGGAGUCAGGCUCCGACCAGGGUUAAGAAACGAAUAGAAGGCAGUUAAAGGUAUUGAUGAUUCACGAGAAUCUGUCAGUGUGCGGUGGACGAGGUCUUUGAAUUCGUUGUAUUAUGAUACAAUGCCAAGCGUGGGCCGAGAAGAUUCGCAAAUCUAACAUGCGUGGGCGGUGUGCGUGGAUGCAAUAUUAAUCACUGGUAAAUGAGAAUUUUGCUGGAUUAGACGUUAACCUGCGAAGACUAUGAUCUAUGAGUGUUACCGUGUUUCGUCUCUGCACAAACUGUUUGAUCUCUCCAUCCUUGACUCAACUUAGAGUUUCGUUCCUUCUUAUUCCUUAUAUUUCUUCUAAUUUAAAACUUCCUGCUAAUUUCUCCCCCAAGAUCCGUCUCAAAAGUUUCUUUCUCUGAAACCAAUCUUAAUUUGUCAAUGUUUGUAACAUCGAUUCCAACGAUUUAUUAAUAUUCAUUAAUAAUGGAAUACUUGAAGUUCUCUAAUACUUGAAAAUAUUACUAUAGUUAUCUGAAUUCUCUUGAAGCGAAUUUCAAAAAUCAAAAUUUAUUUUAAAAAUCCGAUUCUUAACGAUAUCUCUGUAAAAUAAAUGAAAGCAUUUUUCAAAUAUUCCUCGGACUUGAUCAAACAGACUUGAUCUUAAAUUUUAUUUAUAUAAAGUAAUACUUGCUCGAUCGUUAGAACAAAGAAGAUAAAAGCUGAAUUGACGACAUUAGUCGAAAAAAGAAUCGCAGCAGGAAGUAGUUGGCAUUUUGCGUCGCAGAUGGUAGACCGAGAGAUAUCUGGUGAAAAAACAGAUCCGUAAUCAUUUCGCUUAUCUUUAGCCCCGAUAAAAGCUGCGAACGAUCGCUCGUCUUUGGUGGUCCCAAUCUAAGGCCCAAGUUCGAGAGCCAAGAUUCUCUCGAGUGGGCGCUAAACGUGUUCUCUGAACACGCGUGAUAGGAUUCGCAAAGAUAGUUGGAAAGAACUUUCGUUUCUCAGCUUAGGCACUUCGAAUAUUUUCACCUGGCAAUCGAUCGUCUAGCUCUGUUUAUCGAAUACUGCGCGCGAUAUAUUCUUGAUAUAUUGUUGAGGAAAUCUUUGGUUUGGAAAUUGUAGAUUUUCGAAAAGAAUAGAGCAAGAAUCGAGAGAUAUUUUCGUAAAUUUGGCUUGUUUGAAUAUUUAAAGAAGUGAUGGUAUUUAAUUGAUAAAAUUUUUGUUUUUUUUUAUAUGUAUAUCUCAUUCUCUUAGUUUUAAUUUUAAUAGUUGGUAUAAUAAUUUUUUAUGGGUCCAUUUUUAAUUUCAGUCACUUGAUUAAUAAUUAAUAAUUCUUGCAAUGGAAUUAAAAAUUACGAGUUUUACAAGUGUUUUAUUUUUCAUUUGACAAAUGUAUACAUGUAUAUUUUAAACCAUACGAGUUGCGAUUGAACAAUGAUUAAGUGUUACAAUCAUUAUUGUAUCAUGUGUGUAUGAUUGUCAGAGUCAAAUUGAUAAUUUAUCUCAGUUCUCAUAUCUGUUUAAUAAAACAUUCGGGAAAACUAUCUACAGGAUAAUCUAAUCACGUCAAUGGAUUGAAACAGUUUUAUGCAGUUUGAAUCAUCGGUGAUUCUAAUAAUAUAUCGACGCAUUAUAUUUUUCCAAUCUAUUGUCGACGAUUUAAAUAAAUACGUUUUUAUUUCAAAUAUACUUUUCAAUGUAUCAUGUAACGAAUUCUCUCGAUGGUCGACUCGUAACGGAACGAUGGAAGGCCACUUGUCCCCGAAACUUCAAAUUCCACUACGAAAUCCUUCGAUUCUACGGCAAGGUCUUGGAAAAAUUACUUUGAAACGAGGACAAACUUCUACAAACGACGCCCGAUUUCAUAUCUUCCCCCUAAUGCCAUUACUUAAUACCUCGGGGAUCUUUUAGACGUCCCAGUUCGUCUUUUACACCAUUUUCAAAGAGAGAAAGAGAGAGGGAGAGAAAGGAUCGAUGCGGAUUUAUUAACCCCUCUAAGGGCAAAUAUUUGUAGUCGAGAGAUGAAAUAUUUUUUCUUCGUGAAAAUUUUAUAGAAAUAUCGAGAUUUCAAUGAAAUAAAUAAUAUCUAAUUUUAAUUUUCUAAAAUUUCUUUCGUCCCUUUUACCUAUUCAAAUACAAAAAUUCAUAGAUACGUAAAAAUAUCAGUUUAUUCAUUAAAUAAUCCUGUUUCUUAGAAAAGCUGAACAAAGAUACCCAAUUUAAAUUACUUAAUUUAAUAGAAUAUUAAAUAUAAAAAAACCUCCAUUUCAAUUCUAAAAUAAAUCCUGAUCUAUCCAACACGUCCCAUUUUCUUUUCUUCAAAAUCUCCAUCCUCCGAAGGAUAUCCUCCCACGGAUUGAUGGGGGAGAGAAAAGAAAAAAAAAUGAUAAAUGAAAUAUACUUCAACCAAAGUGGCCAAUAAAUCUGGCCGGUGUUCGUUCUCACGCAAUAUCAUCGCGUGUUAACCCUUUGAUCGAAGAAAACAGCUCCACGAUUGAUAGGAAGAGAGAGAGAGGGAGCACGAUCGCGUGAACUUUGACCGCCCCCUACGGUCGUUGCACGACGUUCAAUCCCCCUUUAAUGAAAGAAGCAGUUCGCGCUCACGUGGCAAACGUCGUUCAACACGUGCCACUCGACUCGUGCGUGCAUCAUUCGAACACGUGUGUGCGUAUGUGCAUAUCGUGCACACGGAUCGGUUCAUUCAUGAAGGCGGAACUUCUUAAAGCGAGCGCGCUCCUCUCACCUGGUCGUCGUGACAACGAGUAUUUUCAUUCAUAACGAGAUCGAGAUGAGUCACCUACGAGCAACAACAGCGUUUCGUCAACGAGAGGAUUAUCUGAUGCCUGGCGCUCAAAUGCAAAAGUAUCUCGUAUUAUUACGCGUAGAGUCGAGGAGCAGUUGAAAUACGCGGCGAUUAGAACGAAUGGCGAACGAAGGAAUGCUUUGCUUUCGUCGUUUCGCUUGUUUGCGUUGUAUCAUUCGGAAUUGAAUACGGUUCCAAUGGUUAAAAUCGGGAUACGCUAUUAACACGUCGCGAAUUAUAAUGAAAAAUCUUUCAAUUAUUCGCGAUGUUAUGAGAAGAACGUCAAAAAUUGUAAAGGGUCUGUUCCUUUAUGAGAAGAGUAAACUGUAAACAACUUCUGUAAUUUCACGAGCAGCCAACAAAGUAGAUAGUUUACCUAUCUGACGACGAGUUCGGUCGUCAAAGUUUGGCCGUUAAUGGUCGAAACGCAUUAAACGUGACUCACUUCCGCUGCAGGCUAAUGCACAAUUGCUAGUUUAAUCGCGAGGAACGGCACGAACUGGUCAUUUCUUACUAAUCGGUACACGUGAUCUCGUUCGUUUCCUCGACAGAUUUCGAUGACGUUUCAACCGGCUACUACCUUCAAACCUUAUCUCUAUGAACGUCCCACGCUUAUCUGUCGCGCCGAGGAUUACAACUGGAAAUACUUCUUUUUUUUUGUGGACGUCACAUAUCUUGUACAGGAUAAAACUUGUUUGGAAUAAUUAAAGUUAACAUUGUGAUGUUAUAGGAGCGUAAAUAGAUUCGAGGAACGUAACGAGUAUAUAUAUAACGAUAAUGAUAAUUAAACGAGAGGAGAUUUAUAGUGCUUGAAUAGAGUAGAGAUUAUUAUUGAUAUUCAGCGUAUUUUAAUAAAGAGAUAACCGUGUAUAUAAUGAUAAAUUGCGUAAAAGUGAGUCAACUUAUUUCAAAAGUGAAAGCGAAAAUGUAUGAUAUGUACGAAUAUUGGGUUUGAUAGGAAUAAUUUAAUUUAACGAAUUUGUUGGGUGCAAUGGAUUAUUACGCAAUAUUCACGAAGAAAAGUACGAAAUUUUAUUUACGCAAUUUUUAAUAAAUGUCAAGUCCUCGAAAGAUAUAUCAAAAUAUUACUAUUUUUAUAAAUAAUAAAUAUUAUUAUUAAUAAACGUUAUAACUAAGUUAUAAACGAGCUGUAAAAAAAAAAUUUAAUCCAAAGACACUUCCUUUUCGCAAUAAAAAUGAAAAAAUAAA
Molecule: long non-coding RNA, 8454 nt
Organism: Apis cerana (Asiatic honeybee)
Lineage: Eukaryota; Metazoa; Arthropoda; Insecta; Hymenoptera; Apidae
Source: RefSeq, a predicted model, not a curated record